RNAcentral lists this unclassified non-coding RNA (660 nucleotides) under Hevea brasiliensis (rubber tree). Lineage: Eukaryota; Viridiplantae; Streptophyta; Magnoliopsida; Malpighiales; Euphorbiaceae. The record is from RNAcentral.
GAAAGAGAGAGAGAUGCGCACGUGAGACAACAACUUCAUGACGUGAUUUCAUUGUCAUUCGAUGAUCUUUUCUGGUGAUUCCAAGUGCUAUGAACUCCUAGGAUCACAAGCUUUCAAAUGAGACCAGUGGUGUUUGAUUUGGUUGCUGGAGGAGGGAGAAAAUGAGUAUUUUGUGGCUUUCCAACUAAAUUACGGCCAACCGGCAGUGAGUUUGGACGAUUGGACCUAGGAAAUAUGAUCUAAACUUUGAAAGCUUCGAUUUGACGCAACCAUGCCUUGAUCGGAGAUCAAAUUGAGAAGAUGCUUAACAGAUAGUCUAAAUUAAAUUGAUCGAUGUCGGGUGAUCAGAGCAAAGUUUCGAUGAAUAGUCUGCAAAUCAGUCACCAAUAGCUCAUUAGCAUUCCAAAUGUAUACUCAGAUUGGCAAUAGCUCACUAGUGCCCAGGACUAAGUUUUUGGUCUGAUAUGCCAACCUAUCUUAGGAUAUAGUCAAUAUUACGGUCGAUUCUAGGAUUUUCAAAUGUUUCAAAGCGUUCCAAGUAACAUAAUUUACAAAAGUAAACCUAAACUAGACUUGUGUGAUUUUUACCUAAUUUUAGGCUAGUUGAUUAAUUUAUAAAAUAUUUAUAGCUUAGUAAAAUUAAGUAAAAUAAAUUUAAUU